Molecule: ribosomal RNA, 817 nt
Filed under: Clostridioides difficile
Lineage: Bacteria; Bacillati; Bacillota; Clostridia; Peptostreptococcales; Peptostreptococcaceae
Description: bacterial LSU rRNA
Rfam family: Bacterial large subunit ribosomal RNA
Source: RNAcentral
GGAGGUCCGAACCCACGAGCGUUGAAAAGCUCGGGGAUGACUUGUGGGUAGCGGUGAAAUUCCAAUCGAGCCCGGAGAUAGCUGGUUCUCCCCGAAAUAGCUUUAGGGCUAGCCUCAAGGUGAGAGAUACGGAGGUAGAGCACUGAAUGUCCUAGGGGGUAUUGCACCUACCGAAGACUAUCAAACUCCGAAUGCCGUCAUCUUAUACUUGGGAGUCAGACUGUGGGUGAUAAGAUUCAUAGUCGAAAGGGCAACAGCCCAGAUCGUCAGCUAAGGUCCCUAAAUGUAAGUUAAGUGGUAAAGGAUGUGGGAUUGCACAGACAACCAGGAUGUUGGCUUAGAAGCAGCCACUCAUUCAAAGAGUGCGUAAUAGCUCACUGGUCGAGUGAUCCUGCGCCGAAGAUUUCCGGGGCUAAAACUUACUACCGAAGCUACGGCAUCAGUAAUGAUGGGUAGGGGAGCUUCCCAUACGGGUUGAAGCAUGACCGUAAGGACAUGUGGACAGUAUGGGAGUGAGAAUGUUGGCAUGAGUAGCGAGAUGUGGGUGAGAAUCCCACAGGCCGUAAACCCAAGGUUUCCAGGGGAAGGUUCGUCCGCCCUGGGUUAGUCGGGACCUAAGCUGAGGCCGAAAGGCGGAGGUGAUGGACAACAGGUUGAUAUUCCUGUACUACCGAUAACCGUUUGAGAGAUGGGAUGACACAGUAGGAUAAGCUAAGCACACUGUUGGUUAUGUGUGCCCAAGCAUUGAGGCAGUCAAAGUAGGCAAAUCCGCUUUGAUAAUGCUGGGAUGUGAUGGGGAGCGAAAUUUAGUAGCGAA